UACGUAGGGUGCGAGCGUUGUCCGGAAUUAUUGGGCGUAAAGAGCUCGUAGGCGGUGUGUCACGUCGGCCGUGAAAACCUGCAGCUUAACUGUGGGCGUGCGGUCGAUACGGGCAUCACUGGAGUUCGGCAGGGGAGACUGGAAUUCCUGGUGUAGCGGUGAAAUGCGCAGAUAUCAGGAGGAACACCGGUGGCGAAAGCGGGUUGCUGGGCUGACACUGACGCUGAUGCGCGAAAGCCAGGGGAGCGAACGGG
This 254-nucleotide ribosomal RNA is filed under the name uncultured bacterium. Its description in RNAcentral is "partial 16S ribosomal RNA". It matches the Rfam family "Bacterial small subunit ribosomal RNA", at positions 524 to 776 of the family's 1533-position model. The record is from RNAcentral.